This 200-nucleotide long non-coding RNA is filed under the name Lathyrus oleraceus (garden pea). RNAcentral describes it as "Pisum sativum (pea) long non-coding RNA (PSAT_LNC038245)". The record is from RNAcentral. Lineage: Eukaryota; Viridiplantae; Streptophyta; Magnoliopsida; Fabales; Fabaceae.
AAGCCGAAGCUUUGAUCUUGUGCUCCGAGAUACACAGUCAGCCAGUCGUGUUUGCAUCAUUUGCAUCAUAACAUGUUUAUUUUCAAAAAAUGAUGUAAUGAAAAAAAAAUGGAAAAAAGAAAAGAAAAAGAAAAGCUAAUCUCUUCAUGCAUAUCAUUUCUCAGGUUCAUUCAGGAGUCUAUUCACUGUGAGAGAUGGCA